GAUGAACGCUGGCGGCGUGCCUAAUACAUGCAAGUCUAGCGAACGGACGAGAAGCUUGCUUCUCUGACGUUAGCGGCGGACGGGUGAGUAACACGUGGAUAACCUACCUAUAAGACUGGGAUAACUUCGGGAAACCGGAGCUAAUACCGGAUAAUAUUUUGAACCGCAUGGUUCAAAAGUGAAAGACGGUCUUGCUGUCACUUAUAGAUGGAUCCGCGCUGCAUUAGCUAGUUGGUAAGGUAACGGCUUACCAAGGCAACGAUGCAUAGCCGACCUGAGAGGGUGAUCGGCCACACUGGAACUGAGACACGGUCCAGACUCCUACGGGAGGCAGCAGUAGGGAAUCUUCCGCAAUGGGCGAAAGCCUGACGGAGCAACGCCGCGUGAGUGAUGAAGGUCUUCGGAUCGUAAAACUCUGUUAUUAGGGAAGAACAUAUGUGUAAGUAACUGUGCACAUCUUGACGGUACCUAAUCAGAAAGCCACGGCUAACUACGUG
RNAcentral lists this ribosomal RNA (497 nucleotides) under uncultured bacterium. RNAcentral describes it as "partial 16S ribosomal RNA". It matches the Rfam family "Bacterial small subunit ribosomal RNA", at positions 28 to 507 of the family's 1533-position model. The record is from RNAcentral.